GUCCCAAUUGAGAUCGAUGGGAGCUUCCUCGGAGCUAGAAAAAAUUUCUUUGAAAUAGGAAGUGAAGGCUUUAGAUAUACCUUCAAGAUUAGACUAGGUGCUAUUGUUAUAAUUGAUGGUAGUAAUGAGAUUAUACUUCUUUCUCAUGGAAGCAAUUUUAUGAAAGUAAGCCAAGUUGUUUACCCCUUCUUUUAGCCAUCGCACUUUA
Molecule: long non-coding RNA, 208 nt
Filed under: Elaeis guineensis (African oil palm)
Lineage: Eukaryota; Viridiplantae; Streptophyta; Magnoliopsida; Arecales; Arecaceae
Description: long non-coding RNA (EGUI_LNC015186)
Source: RNAcentral